UGUUUAAGUAGCGGAAGCAUUGUUUAAACCCAAGUUAAACAUACUGAAAUGUCAUAAGUGUCUAACAAAGUAAUACGAUCCUUGUCCACAACGACCGGCUCCUCUUUGUGCAAGCUCCAUGUACCUAACGAUCUGCAAGGCAUUUCUUGUUUUUGAUCAUCAAAAAACGUUUUGAGGGUUGUCGAAUUGUUGAUCAAUGGCUGUAGGGAGCAGAUGAGGGUGGUUUUGCAAGAUUUGUUUCAGGAGCUGACCAACCGAGGACUCAAACUUAAGUGGUGCUACAGGAGCCAAAUUAUAACCUGAACCUGAACCAGAAUCACUUGAUGAUGCUUUUGCUAUACAACUCCUCGCUCGGGAUGAUUCAACUCUAGAGCCCUAUCAUUCAUAGAACUAUCAAGACAAUUGAUAGCAUUGACAAGGAACAACAAUAUAACUUCAAUUUCAUUA
Molecule: long non-coding RNA, 447 nt
Filed under: Helianthus annuus (common sunflower)
Lineage: Eukaryota; Viridiplantae; Streptophyta; Magnoliopsida; Asterales; Asteraceae
Description: sRNA HanXRQr2_Chr13g0588871
Source: RNAcentral